CAGCAGCCGCGGGAAUACAGAGGGUGCGAGCGUUAAUCGGAUUUACUGGGCGUAAAGCGUGCGUAGGCGGCUUCUUAAGUCGGAUGUGAAAUCCCUGAGCUUAACUUAGGAAUUGCAUUCGAUACUGGGAAGCUAGAGUAUGGGAGAGGAUGGUAGAAUUCCAGGUGUAGCAGUGAAAUGCGUAGAGAUCGGAAGGAACAUCUGUGGCGAAGGCGACUAUCUGAGCCAUUACUGACGCUGAGGUGCGAAAGCGUGGGGAGCAAACAGGAUUAGAUACCCCUGUAGUCCCUGUCUCUUAUAC
RNAcentral lists this ribosomal RNA (301 nucleotides) under uncultured bacterium. RNAcentral's name for it is "partial 16S ribosomal RNA". It matches the Rfam family "Bacterial small subunit ribosomal RNA", at positions 509 to 807 of the family's 1533-position model. The record is from RNAcentral.